AUGUCAGCCUUACCAGCUUAUGCUCAAUUCAGUCAAAACAGAUGUGGGGAGGGAUUCUGUGGAUACCAGAAUAAAGUCCUUAAAAGGAAUUGUAAAAACCUGAAUGUGCUUAUCAUCCGUUUCCCCCAUUAUUCCCCCUCCACCACCACCACACCAUCUUGUGUCUGUAAUGCCAACCAAUGGAUUAUCUUUCCAUAUGUUUUAAUAUCCCCUAGCCUUGCUCUUAAAAAUGAUUCUUUAUUGUAAUAAUUAAAAUGUAGCCCACUAAUUGCAAUAGUACGCACACAAAAUUAUUUAUCAAGUUAGAAGCCCUGAAAGUUUGUAAUUUGACAAAGUAAAAAAUUAAUUUUACUUUUCUGCAUAUUUUCAACUCCUUUGAGGAAGGCUGUCUUCAUAAACUAUGGAAUAGUGAGCAUGAUUUGAAAAAUCCAAUGGUUGGAAGAAUCCAGAUGUUAGAAACCUUUAGAAAUCAAUGUAGCACCAAAUAAGACAAGACUACCUUAUGGGAAUUUGAUUAGAAAAAGAAAAAUUGCUGAUUGCUAGUAGGUGAUGACUUCAUCUCUGCCACCCCUAUCAUCAAUCAGGAAACAGAUUCCCCAAAUGCAUCUGCUCUAGGCAAAAUUGCUAAACAGAUAAAUUUUGUCUUUAAAAAAAUCUUUUUCUGAGUCUUUAUAUGGAAGGGCAUUACAUCCUCUGCUGAAUAUCAUUUACCCUUGUUUUGUUCACUUAGACUUCUUGGACCCCAAAUAUCCAGUAAUCGCCAGCCAUCUACUCCCAAGAAACUCAUUCAUUAAUGAAUUCAUUCCAGUGUCUUAGGGACUUAGUAUGUUAACUCUGUCAAGUUUGUGCUUUAAAAGAGUUUAGUGGACUUUGAGGGUAGAAGGAAAGAUUUUGGGUGGAGGACCUUAAAUCGUACCAUGUGUAAUUCUACUGUGCCCACCAUUUCCAGCCUCAGAGAUCCAAGAAAAUUUACAUCCUGUCUAGAAUUCCAACUCUUAACCAGGGACCUAAAGCAGUGAGUGACCCUUACUUUACAUCUUGAAUUGAAAUUAGCACUAUAGGAUAUUUAGUUUGGGCCUGUAGGGAUAGAGGUGGAAGCUCUUCCUAGGGUAUAUGUUGAUCUGUGUUAUCAUCCUCAAGAAAAGGUUCUCUAUCAAGAAAUGUGUGCCAUCAUUUGAAUUACUCACCAUUAUACAUUGGGCAUCAUCUGGUUCAUUAAGAAAAUAAAACUCAUUAAUUCAUAGAAAAGUUCUAAAAA
This 1258-nucleotide long non-coding RNA is filed under the name Monodelphis domestica (gray short-tailed opossum). Its description in RNAcentral is "lncRNA (ENSMODG00000045935.1)". The record is from RNAcentral. Lineage: Eukaryota; Metazoa; Chordata; Mammalia; Didelphimorphia; Didelphidae.